Molecule: small nuclear RNA, 161 nt
Filed under: Dasypus novemcinctus (nine-banded armadillo)
Lineage: Eukaryota; Metazoa; Chordata; Mammalia; Cingulata; Dasypodidae
Description: U1 spliceosomal RNA (ENSDNOG00000036010.1)
Rfam family: U1 spliceosomal RNA
About the family: U1 is a small nuclear RNA (snRNA) component of the spliceosome (involved in pre-mRNA splicing). Its 5' end forms complementary base pairs with the 5' splice junction, thus defining the 5' donor site of an intron. There are significant differences in sequence and secondary structure between metazoan and yeast U1 snRNAs, the latter being much longer (568 nucleotides as compared to 164 nucleotides in human).
Source: RNAcentral
AUACUUACCUGGCAGGGGAGACACCAUGAUCACAAAGGUGGUUUCCCAGGGCGAGGCUGAUCCAUUACACUCCAGAUGUGCUGUCCCCUGAGAUUUCCCCAAAUGUGGGAAACUCGAUUGUAUAAUUUGUGGUAGUGGGGGACUGCAUUUGCAUUCUCCCC